Non-coding RNA from Schizosaccharomyces pombe (fission yeast), 1433 nucleotides. The record is from the annotation of a GenBank genome assembly. Lineage: Eukaryota; Fungi; Ascomycota; Schizosaccharomycetes; Schizosaccharomycetales; Schizosaccharomycetaceae.
AAAAUUUUUUCAAGUUCUUCAACAACAGCCUUAGUAAUAUCAGCGGUAGAAGCCUCACCUCCCAAAUCGCGAGUAUAAAGACCACGUCCACCAAUUGAAGUAUCAUCCAAGACCUUGCGUACGGCGGCUUCGAUAGCUUCAGCCUCCUUAGGAGCAUUCAAACCAUAACGAAGGAGAAGGGAAGCAGAUAAAAUUGUACCAACAGGAUUAACAAUGCCCUUGCCAGCGAUAUCGGGAGCGCUACCGUGAAUGGGCUCAACCAAACAAUGAACCUUUUCUUCUGAUUUUCCUACCACACCGGAAAGGGAGGCAGAAGGCAAAAGGCCCAAGCUACCAGGAAUGACAGAAGCCUCAUCUGAAAUAAUGUCACCAAACAAGUUGUCAGUCAAAACAACACCGUUAAGUGUACGAGGGCUCUUGACCAAAAGCAUGGCUGCGGAGUCAAUGAGCUGGUUUUUUAAGGUAAGGUGAGGAUAUUCCUCCUUAAAAAUCUUAGCUACAGUCUUGCGCCAAAGACGAGAAGUUGCCAAAACAUUAGCUUUGUCGAGUAAUGUGACGGGAGCAGGAGGGUUGGAAGUUUCAGCUAACCAAGCAGCCAAACGAGCAAUACGAGAAACUUCUUCCAAACUGUAAGGCCAAGUGUCCAUAGCAUAACCCGAUCCGUUGUCCUCAGUGCGCUCACCAAAGUAACAACCUCCAGUAAGUUCUCGUACAACACAAAAAUCGACACCUUCAACGAUUUCAGGCUUCAAAGGGCUGUACUUGACUAAAGACUUGCUGGCAAAGUUGCAAGGUCGAAGGUUGGCCCAAACACCCAUACUCUUACGAAGCUUCAAUAAACCUUGCUCAGGACGACAAUUGGGGUUGGUCCAUUCAGGACCACCAACGGCACCCAAAAGAACACCGUCAGCUUCCAAACAAGCCUUCACAGUCUCGUCAGUCAAAGGGGUUCCAUAGGCAUCAAUAGAGGCACCUCCAAUCUUGUGUUCUUCAAACUCGAGUUUUAACUCAGGUCGCUUCUUCUCAACGACUUUCAAAACCUCCAAGGCAGAAGCAACAAUUUCAGGGCCAAUAUGGUCUCCUGGUAAGACGACGAUUUUCUUUGCACACAUGUUGUUGAAGAAGUUUUGUUGUGAAAUGGUUUCGUGAAAGUUUCAGACCCUACCGCAAAAAUGCCUGGUUUCGGGAAACUCAACACUGUUGCACUUUUUAUACUACAGAUUGGGAUAUCGAUAAUAUUGCGUAAAAAAUCCUUUUUUUAAAAAGCUUGUUUACAGUAACGUAAAUGACCAGAAAUCAGAUGAAAAUCACAAGAAAGCAAAUAAUUCACGUUAAAUCCUGAUAUGUUUGAUUUUGUGAUGAAAUCAUGGAUGUUCAUAGGAAUUGUUGAAAUUGCGCUUUUUUAACGAAAUAUACAAGUAUCCUGGAGCUUA